GUGGUACCACUGCACGUGUUUCCUUGUCUCCCUGCGAAGGAAGGCUGUCAUAUUGCGUAGCGAAGCAUCAGCAGCGGCCUGUGGCGAGUCCUCCUGCGAGGACUCCAACGAGCUGCGAUCCUUCGCCUUUGCUGAUGGAGAGGGACUUUCUGGGACUAAACGGCGACGCCGCGGUGGCUCUGCAGGUGAAGGAGCGCAGCAGGGGAUUCCAGGAUUCAUCAGAUUCAAUAUCGAUCUUUACUGUAAAUCCAGCAGUUCAGUGGCCUUACGCAAACGAAACUGCUGCUCUGCUUCAAGUUCAAUCACCAAAUGCUGCAGAUGAAUGUAAGCUGAAAAGGACGACGUUCGACCACUUCUCCUUCCCUGGUCUUCAUAUCAACCCAAAAUGCUUUCCUGUGGUAUCCUCUCAGACACUCUCUAAUCUCGGAAGACAAGGACUGAAGCAGCACCUCACCAGUUCUUCUGCUACCAUAGCUUCGGAUUGUCCUCUGGUCUCGCAUUACUCCACUCCACUUGCCGGAAGUGGAGGAGCCACUGCAGAAGAAGACCAUUCUGUGAGAUCCACAUUUUUAGGAGACCGCUCAUCAUGGUAAUAACGUCGUAGUUCCCAAAGUUGGUAUGUUACUAAGCAGAACUUGAAAGCUUUUGGCCAUGCAGGAACACAUCGAAGUCCUUUUCAUCGCCCUCACAGCUAACCAUCUUCUACGGAGGCUCAGUGAUAGUGUACGACAAUGUCUCAUCGGAUAUGGCUCGUGAAAUCAUGUUGCUGGCCAGCAGCAGGAAUCAUGCAGCUGCAGCCUCAACUCCUGUGUCUUUGAGUCCUGCAACCACAACCUCGCCUAGAGCGAUACCUCUGUCUCGCAAGGCAUCUCUGGCACGGUUCGUGGAGAAGCGCAAGCAAAGAAUGAUCAACUACAAGCCUUAUCCCUUCUGCGACAAGAGAAAAGAUGCCAACUCGAGUGCAGCAUUCACACGUGCAAGCCAUGAAAACAGUGACUCAGAUAGUGGACCGUCUUCCCACAGAUGCCAAUAACUAGAGCAUGAACGAUUCAGCUUUUCUCUUCUUCCCUCCGAUCCAAUCAUUGCGAUGUAUCUUCUUAAACUGUGAGCUGCACUGUGGACAAUGGCAUCUAACAAAAAAAAUGAAAGAGCAUGCUAUCUCUUCCUUUAGCACAA
Molecule: non-coding RNA, 1176 nt
Organism: Musa acuminata subsp. malaccensis (wild Malaysian banana)
Lineage: Eukaryota; Viridiplantae; Streptophyta; Magnoliopsida; Zingiberales; Musaceae
Source: RefSeq, a predicted model, not a curated record